AUGAGUUGGGCUCAGGAAGCAGAGCUCUGGGGGUGUCUCCACCAUGGCCUGGACCCCUCUCCUCCUCACCCUCCUCACUCUCUGCCAGGGUCCUGGGCACAGUCUGGGCUGACACAGGAAGCCUCGGUGUCAGGGUCUCCUGGACAGACUGUCACCAUCACAUGCAAGGGGAGCAGCUCUGACCUUGGAUCUUAUGGUGCUGGCUGGUACCAGCAGCUCCUUGGGGGCACCCCCAAGACUGUGAUGCUCGCAACUUCUCGGCCCUCGGGGAUCCCAGCUCGGUUCUCUGGCUCCAAGGCAAGUGGCAAGGCCUCCCUGACCAUCACGGGGCUCCAGCCUGAGGACGAGGCUGUCUAUUACUGCUCAACAUGGGACAGUAGCAUCAGUGGUCCACAGUGCUCCAGACACAUGGGGAACUGAGACAGAAACCUGCCCCUGCCCCCUGAGGCUGGUCUCCCCUCUAAGAGCCUGUGACGAACACCAGCGGAGGGUGACUGUGGUGUCCCCUCCCUUGUCAGCAUCCCAUGACCUGAAGGUCAGAGCAGAGAGCAAAAAUAUAGGGUCAAUGACAAUGGCUACUUCUCAUUAUUUCAUCCCCACAUUUCACAAGCAUUUGGUAUUGUCAGGUUUCUUGUUUUGUCCAACCUACUGUUUGCACUGCAAUCUUCCUGUCACUUAAUGUUCAUUUUCCUAAUUACUCAUGAAGGCAAAUAUCUUUUUUAUGCUUUUAUUACUAUUACAUAUUUCUUCUUUUGUGACA
Choloepus didactylus (southern two-toed sloth) is the source of this 760-nucleotide non-coding RNA. Lineage: Eukaryota; Metazoa; Chordata; Mammalia; Pilosa; Megalonychidae. The record is from the annotation of a RefSeq genome assembly.